RNAcentral lists this long non-coding RNA (205 nucleotides) under Capsella grandiflora. Its description in RNAcentral is "long non-coding RNA (CGRA_LNC001610)". The record is from RNAcentral. Lineage: Eukaryota; Viridiplantae; Streptophyta; Magnoliopsida; Brassicales; Brassicaceae.
AAUUGGAAUAUUUUUUCUUUUCUAUAUCUCUUUUUGUCGAAACUCGCAAGUAGCCAAAUGUUAUUUCUCAUGCACCUAAAUUUUGAGAAAAAGACUCCUAACUCCCCUUCAUAUUUCACUUGCCGUCGUACUUGAACUAAGUUGUACUAUAUGUUAUAGAUAUAAAUAUCGUUGUAAUAAAAGUUGUACUUCAUAUUUCGCUCAU